RNAcentral lists this ribosomal RNA (497 nucleotides) under uncultured bacterium. RNAcentral describes it as "partial 16S ribosomal RNA". It matches the Rfam family "Bacterial small subunit ribosomal RNA", at positions 28 to 507 of the family's 1533-position model. The record is from RNAcentral.
GAUGAACGCUGGCGGCGUGCCUAAUACAUGCAAGUCGAGCGAACAGACGAGGAGCUUGCUCCUCUGACGUUAGCGGCGGACGGGUGAGUAACACGUGGAUAACCUACCUAUAAGACUGGGAUAACUUCGGGAAACCGGAGCUAAUACCGGAUAACAUGUUGAACCGCAUGGUUCAACAGUGAAAGACGGUCUUGCUGUCACUUAUAGAUGGAUCCGCGCCGCAUUAGCUAGUUGGUAAGGUAACGGCUUACCAAGGCAACGAUGCGUAGCCGACCUGAGAGGGUGAUCGGCCACACUGGAACUGAGACACGGUCCAGACUCCUACGGGAGGCAGCAGUAGGGAAUCUUCCGCAAUGGGCGAAAUCCUGACGGAGCAACGCCGCGUGAGUGAAGAAGGUCCUCGGAUCGUAAAACUCUGUUAUUAGGGAAGAACAAAUGUGUAAGUAACUAUGCACGUCUUGACGGUACCUAAUCAGAAAGCCACGGCUAACUACGUG